RNAcentral lists this long non-coding RNA (1730 nucleotides) under Mytilus galloprovincialis (Mediterranean mussel). The record is from RNAcentral. Lineage: Eukaryota; Metazoa; Mollusca; Bivalvia; Mytilida; Mytilidae.
ACAUAAGUCAGGAAGCUUCAAGAAAUAAAAUUAAUAAUUCCCAAUUUUCUUCUUUAUUAGAUUUCAUAUCAAAAUAAAACUUGGUGAAUAUGUUUUUUAUGGUAUUAUGAACAUAAUAAGAUGAAAGUGAAAAAUCGGAUUCCUUUAAGUACUAGUAUACAUAUUUUAUCCUUUUAUCUAGAAUUUUUCGCUUGAUUUACUGGUUCUAAAAGAUUCGUUAUAAUGAGAGUCGACUUGCAUUGGAUAACUCAUGUCCAAUGAUGACCCAUAAUUUGAUUCAAAGUGCAUUGUUUGUUUUAAAACAUACAUUAUCAUCUUUAGAUGUGUUUUUCCUCCUUAUUUUGAUAGUCUUUGCCAGUAGUUAUCAUUUAUCAUACAUUUCCUCUUUCAAAUAAAUUCAUUCUGAUAUAUAGUACAUGAAUACAUACAAUUUACAUUCAUAAAACGGUAGCACCAGUUCACAUGUUUAAACAAAAACAUGAAAUAUCAUUAAUAAACUGUUGACACAGAGAUAUAUGUCUUUUAGUUAUUAGUUUUGAUAGUUAAAUGCAAAUAUUCAAACUAAAAUGGCAAUUUAUUAAAAUGUAUACUAUUAAAAACAUUCCGUCAUUGAACCAUGACUGAAUGUGCAGGGCCCAAUAACCUCUAUGGAAAAGUUUGCCAAUGCUAAUAACUGUAUACCAAAUGCCAUUGGCUAAUCAUAAGCUCAAACUAACUUGUAAAAUAUGCAAAAGUUUUAAAGUCAAUGAAUCAUAAUGAUAGGAAACAAGUCCUGAAUAUAUCUGAAAUAUUUGAAUUAUUUUGAUGCUGGACAUUUUGCAAAAAAAAAAUCUAUUUGGUAAUAUACCUAAUGCCCCUGAAGAUGUUGUUUCUUUACCAUAACAGGGGUAUUCAAAAAAGUAAUUGUCAUUACAUGUAAUUAAUUUCAUAGUUAAAAGUAAUUUAAAGUAAUGUGUAAUUGAGCAUUAUUUCAAUUACAUUUAAUUGAAAGUAAGAAACUACAUUGCCUUUUUUUUCAUAUACUGAUGGCUUCUUUCAUUUGCUUUCAAGUACAUUGAAGAUUUGUUUGGAAAGAAUUAGAACAAAUUCUUUGGAAAAUAUCACAGAUGUAUAAAAUACUUUAGGCCUGAAGGCAGUAAACUUCUGAAUACCAAUGUCAGAGACAAUAUUUAGCAGGUAUUCUACAACUGCUCUAUUGUAUAGUGUUUCCAUCAUUUUGAAUAUCUCAAAAACUGGAUUAUUAUCAACAUUAAAUUGAAUAAUUAUUUUGAACUUAUCACAACUGAAUAUAAAAAUUUACCAAUGUAAUGGUGUCAAUUAAAAAAAAACAUUAGCAACUAUUACAUAAUAAUAUUACAAUUUCAUGAUCAUUAAAAAGUCUUAAGUUAUAUAUUUAAAUUUUAUAUGUGCGUCUUAAAAACAAAGUUAAAUUCAAAUUACAACCUUAAUGUUAACCUCAUUUUAUAAAAGUUUUACUAGCAUUACCAUGACAAUGUAAAAUGUGUAGAAUUCAAUCAUUGUAAGGUACUUAUUCUUCGCUUUAUGAAAUCAAGACCUACAAUUAGAACAUUUUCUAUUAUUUCUAUUAUCAUAGUGUUAAGCUUAUGCUUUCAUUUUUAUUUUCUUCUCCAUGUUUUCUUUUACAUAUCUCUUAAUUUAAUUUCCUAAAUGAGUCUUACCUCAAACACUUAUUUGUACAUCAUGAAUGGUAGAUAUUUACUGUAAAUUCU